GACGAACGCUGGCGGCGUGCUUAACACAUGCAAGUCGUACGGUAAGGCCCUUUCGGGGGUACACGAGUGGCGAACGGGUGCGUAACACGUGAGUAACCUGCCCACAACUUUGGGAUAACGCUAGGAAACUGGUGCUAAUACUGGAUGUGUGCUCCUGCUGCAUGGUGGGGGUUGGAAAGCUCCGGCGGUUGUGGAUGGACUCGCGGCCUAUCAGCUUGUUGGUGGGGUAGUGGCCUACCAAGGCGGCGACGGGUAGCCGGCCUGAGAGGGUGACCGGCCACAUUGGGACUGAGAUACGGCCCAGACUCCUACGGGAGGCAGCAGUGGGGAAUAUUGCACAAUGGGCGCAAGCCUGAUGCAGCAGCGCCGCGUGCGGGAUGACGGCCUUCGGGUUGUAAACCGCUUUCAGCAGGGACGUAGCUUUUUGUGACGGUACCUGCAGAAGAAGCACCGGCUAACUACGUG
Molecule: ribosomal RNA, 465 nt
Filed under: uncultured bacterium
Lineage: Bacteria
Description: partial 16S ribosomal RNA
Rfam family: Bacterial small subunit ribosomal RNA
Source: RNAcentral